AGGGUUCGAUUCUGGCUCAGGAUGAACGCUGGCGGCGUGCCUAAUACAUGCAAGUCGAACGAGGUGGAAGGGAGCUUGCUCCUGGAUACCGAGUGGCGAACGGGUGAGUAACACGUAGGUAACCUGCCCUUAAGCUUGGGAUACCCAGAGGAAACUUUGGCUAAUACCGGAUAACAACAGAGGAGGCAUCUCCUUUGCUUGAAAGGCCCUUCAAAGGGUCACUUAAGGAUGGACCUGCGGCGCAUUAGCUAGUUGGUGAGAUAAAAGCCCACCAAGGCGAGGAUGCGUAGCCGACCCGAGAGGGUGAUCGGCCACAUUGGAACUGAGACACGGUCCAAACUCCUACGGGAGGCAGCAGUAAGGAGUUUUCGGCAAUGGGGGAAACCCUGACCGAGCAACGCCGCGUUGAGUGAUGACGGCCCUAUGGGUUGUAAAGCUCUGUUGUAAGGGACGAACGAUCGUUUAGGAAAUGAAACGGUUCUGACGGUACCUUACCAGAAAGCCACGGCUAACUACGUGCCAGCCGCCGC
RNAcentral lists this ribosomal RNA (530 nucleotides) under uncultured bacterium. RNAcentral's name for it is "bacterial SSU rRNA". It matches the Rfam family "Bacterial small subunit ribosomal RNA", at positions 8 to 518 of the family's 1533-position model. The record is from RNAcentral.